This is an RNA transcript of Harmonia axyridis, 4425 nucleotides long. It is a transcript of the gene named serine/threonine-protein kinase prp4, with no coding region annotated. The transcript is spliced from 8 exons. NCBI's taxonomy places the organism in Eukaryota, Metazoa, Arthropoda, Insecta, Coleoptera, Coccinellidae. The record is from RefSeq and is a predicted model, not a curated record.
CAGAAAUCAACUCAUUUCCGAUUAAUGGGGUUAGAUUAGAAUUGUUAGAAAGACGUUUAAUUAAUAUUCAGUUUUGGAAGUUAUCCACAGUAUUUUUGAAAAUUGUGCCUCCUUUUCUCGAACCCAUUUAAUGGAAAUUUCCAAUUGAUAAUUAUUUGUUCUCUUCUCAAUCAAAAUAACAAGUUAUUUAAUAAUAUGCUAGAUAUGGAUGAACCAAGUAAGAAAAAACAUAAGAAAGAGCAUAAACAUAAACACAAAAAGCAUAGUUCAGAAAAGUCUGAUAGUAGUAAAAAGCAUAAGAAACAUAAGAAAAGCAAAAGCAAACAUAGCGACUCCAAAACGAAAAGUGACACAAGUACAGCUAAUGAAAGGUAUACUCCCGAGGUUUCCCCUAAAAAGGCUUUAGAUGUUGAAGAAGAUAAAAAUAUGUCUAGUGUAGAGUGUGACUUGCAGACAGAGUUAAAUCCUAAUGAUGUUGUAAAAGAUAUAUCUCAAGGACUUGUAGGUACACACUCGCUUGAAAUAAUUUCUUCUGAAAGCGAAGAAAUGCCUGAAGUAGAUUGUGAUAGUGAUGCUAUAGAUGUGGAUGUUAUUGAAGCUGAUAUGGAUUUGGAGGAAUUGAUGAAACAGAAGGAAUUACUUCAAUUAGAAAUUGCUAGAGCUGAAUUGGAAAACAAUGGUAAAAAGGUCAGUAAAGUUGUUGUAGAUGAAAUAAUUUUAUUGGAUGAUUCAAGUAAUGAGGCUCCAGCUAGUUUUGAGAAUAGCAAAAGAAAGCUUUCAAUUAGUAGAGAAAGAAAGGACACGAAAAUUCCUAAAUUAACGUCUGAUAGGAAAAGAAGUGAUCGUUCUUCUAGUAGAGAAAGAGCAAAGAGAAAUCAUAGGGACAAAUUAUUUAGAGAUAGAAAAUCAGAUUUAGAUAGAAGUAGAGACAGAAGAAGUGAAGAUAGACAAAGAAAAGGAAUUGAAUCUAGAAGAUCUACUGAUAGAUAUUCUAGAGAAAGGUCAAAUGCUCAUGAACAUGAUCGUCAUAGAUAUGAAGAUCAUAGAUUCAGGAAUAGAAGAUUAGAUGACAUGAGAUAUUCAAAGGAAAGACCUAGAAGUAACAAUUUAUAUUCACGGAAUGGAUAUGAUAAAUCUAGGGAUCGACAUGAUAGAUAUCACCAUAAAACCCAGAGAUCAGAGAAACAAGAUAAAUUCAAAGAUUCUUUGAGUGAAGGAAUGAAAAACAAACAAAGUGAAAGCAGUGAUUCAGAGAUUAAUGUUGAUUUCAAUGAAGAUGAAGAAGACGAGGAACAAAUCAUUGAAAAACGAAGAAAACAAAGAGAGGAGCUCCUAAAAAGACUUGAAGGCAACACUCAAUCUAAUGAAGAUUCAAAUACCAAUUUUUCUGAACCAUCUUCACCACAAUCAAAGAUCAAAGAAAAUUUUGAUUCUGCUCCUAGUGAAAAUGCAGAACCAGAACAAGACAGUCAUAAGUCCAAUGAUGAAGGAAAUCAAAUUAGUAUACACAGUGAAGAGUCACUCACUCCUCCUUUGUUGCCUAAUAUGAAAGUUAAAAAUAUGGAAAAGAAAGAUGUUAAACCUAUCAAACAAAGUAAUUGGGAUAUGUUUGCUGAGCAGGACAGCUAUAAAGCAAAUUCUUCACCUAGUACUAUAAUCGCUAAAGGUUCUGGUGCAGAAAAUCCUGCUCUAACAGAUAAUUGGGAUGAUGCUGAAGGCUACUAUAGAGUAAGAAUUGGUGAAAUUCUUGAUAGUCGUUAUAUGGUUUAUGGCUAUACUGGCCAGGGAGUUUUCAGUAAUGUAAUUAGAGCCAGAGAUCAAGCAAGAAGUAACCAGGAUGUUGCAGUGAAAAUAAUAAGAAAUAAUGAAAUUAUGCACAAAACUGGAUUGAAAGAAUUGGAGAUAUUGAAAAAACUAAACGAUGCAGAUCCAGAAGAUAAAUUACAUUGUUUGAGGUUGAUAAGACAUUUUUUCCAUAAACAACAUUUAUGCAUGGUUUUUGAGCCAUUGGCUAUGAAUCUUAGGGAAGUUCUCAAGAAAUAUGGAAAAGAUGUUGGUUUACAUGUGAAAGCAGUGAGAAGUUAUACUCAGCAGUUAUUGCUAGCAUUGAAAUUAUUGAAGAAGACGGGUAUCUUACAUGCAGAUAUAAAACCGGAUAAUAUAUUGGUAAAUGAUAGCAAAUUGGUUUUGAAAUUGUGUGAUUUUGGUUCAGCUUCAUAUAUAAACGAUAAUGAUAUUACUCCAUAUCUAGUAUCAAGAUUUUAUCGAGCUCCUGAGAUAAUUCUAGGAAUACCUUAUGAUUAUGCUAUUGACAUGUGGUCUGCGGCCUGCACCAUAUAUGAACUUUACACUGGAAAAAUAUUAUUCUCUGGAAAAUCUAACAAUCAAAUGUUGAAAUUCUUUAUGGAUGUGAAAGGCAAAUUCCCCAAUAAAGUAAUUAGGAAAGGGGCUUUCAAAGAGCAGCAUUUUGAUUCUAAUUGUAAUUUUCUCUACCAUGAAAUUGAUAAGGUCACUGAGAGGGAAAAAAUUGUAGUUUUGUCUGUUAACAAAAUGACAAGGGAUCUACAAUCUGAGCUAGUAAGUAGCCAAGUAUUGCCAGCUGACCAACUACGAAAAGUAACCCAGCUUAAGGAUCUGCUAGAAAAGGCAUUGGCCAUAGAUCCAGUGAAACGAAUAAGCCUCAACAAUGCUCUCACACAUCCAUUUAUCCAGGACAAGAUUUGAGAUCAGGUUUGGAGAGAAUGAAUUUCACUUGGUGCAAAUACCAUGUUAAAUCAAAAAAUUGGAGAGUAUUAUUAAGAAACCUCGGAAUUUUGAAAGUUUUGAGAAUUUGAAGAGGUCUUCGGAAAGGAGAAAUUGAUCCAGACAGAAGUGAAAAAGUCGCAAAUCAAUUUGAUUAGGUAGGAGAAUUUAAAAUUAGUAGAAACUGACAAAACUGAACUGAAGCAGAACACCAUUUUUCGUAAUACUUAUAUCAAUUAUUGAAACUUGAUGUAGUUAUACAGGAUGUUCAGCGGAAAGUUGAACUUACGAAAAGGUAGGUAGAGUCAUCUGCUAUCUACUCAGCCCCAAAGAUUUUAUCUAGGCCUGAAGAAUUUUUUCUUAAUGCUACAAGAAGUUGUGCCUUAAAAUUUUCGCUAACUCUUUUCAUGAAAUUUUUUUUUAUUUAAACUUAAUGGUUGCAUAGAAACGAAGUUAUGGACCCACUAAUUAUAACAAAAAAUUUCAAAAUGAACUUCACAUUGCUUUCAAAAUUCCAAAAAUAAAAAAAAGUGUAGGAUACACAAAUUCUUGGGGUCUAGGUCAAAUCUUUGUGGCUGAGUAGGUAGCUGACGAUCCCACCUACCUCCCAUUUUUGUAUGUUCAAUGUUCUGCCGAACACCUUGUAUAUGAUUGAAAACAGUAUUACUAUUGCUCUUUCUUUCAGCUAGUUUGGAGGUUGGAGAUAAAUUCUUUGGGGUCUAAAAAAUAGAGUAGAUUUUUUAAUUACAAGUGCACUAGACUAUUUCAGUGGAGAUUGGCUUGUUACCUACCCAAAUAUGGUUGGAUAUUUUCAAUAUGCGGAAUUGCUUAAUGAAUAACAGAAAACUUAUCAAGACAAGUUGAAAUAUCAUUCAAAGAUUCACAGAUUUUUUUGAAAGGUAAAUAAUUUUUCAAAAUGCCCGUUCUGGAAUAACAAAUCUUAUGGAUCGUCAAAUUGUUUUUUAUAUAACUAAAUCCUAAUCUUUGAAAUUACUGAAAAAAUAAAUUGGGGAUAUUUAAAUAACGUACAAUGGGAAUAUAUUUCUUUUUUUACACAAAUAUCUAUUUAUAUUUGAAACUAGUCGAAUGACUAUGAUUUCUUUUGAAAUCCCCCAGUUAUCUAAGAACUUACCACUCUAAGACUAUAAUUAUUUGAUCAAGUACAUAAACUGUUGUCCAAUAAAUUAUGAAUCAAUUGCUCUCCGAUAGUAGGUAGCCUCUUCCACCUGUAUGGCAGAUCAAUUAUCGUUUUUGCGGAGUUUCUGGUCGUUAGGUUAUGCACGUGGAGGAAAUAGAAAAGUAAUUCAAGCAUAAUUAGUUUGAAUAAAAUUUCCUCAUCAGUUAUUAAAACAUUUGACAUUUUCAGUUACACCCUUUGACUUCACAUCAUAUACAAUGAGUAUUUUUUGCACAAUUUCUACACACUUUUCUGGUGAUUUCACUGUUUGCACAAGGGGUCUGACGUUAUCUUUAGGUAAAUGCGCCUAAUGAUAUUUUUUAUUUAUGAAAAUAUUAAAAAUAUUAGAGUACACAAAUGUACAAGAACGUAAAGUAUUAUAGUUUUGGUUUAUUAAUCUGAUUAACCAAACUCUAAAAUGAAGAAUAUUUUUCAGUAUCUCUUAAAAUUUUCUUAGUUCAUGUUUGGGGAGUUGACUCUUAAAAUAAAAAACAUUUCAUAUUUUG